CUCAGGACGAACGCUGGCGGCGUGCCUAACACAUGCAAGUCGAGCGAUGAAGUCUCGGAACGGAUUAGCGCGGACGGGUGAGUAACACGUGGGUAACCUGCCUUGUAGAGGGGGAUAGCCUUCCGAAAGGAAGAUUAAUACCGCAUAACAUCUUUUUAUCGCAUGGUAGAAAGAUCAAAGGAGUAAUCCGCUACAAGAUGGACCCGCGGCGCAUUAGCUAGUUGGUGAGGUAACGGCUCACCCAAGGCGACGAUGCGUAGCCGACCUGAGAGGGUGAUCGGCCACAUUGGAACUGAGACACGGUCCAGACUCCUACGGGAGGCAGCAGUGGGGAAUAUUGCGCAAGUUACGGGGGGAAACCCUGACGCAGCAACGCCGCGUGAAUGAAGAAGGCCUUAGGGUUGUAAAGUUCUGUUUACGGGGACGAUAAUGACGGUACCCGUGGAGGAAGCCACGGCUAACCACGUGCCAGCCGCCGC
RNAcentral lists this ribosomal RNA (479 nucleotides) under uncultured bacterium. RNAcentral describes it as "bacterial SSU rRNA". It matches the Rfam family "Bacterial small subunit ribosomal RNA", at positions 23 to 518 of the family's 1533-position model. The record is from RNAcentral.